Molecule: ribosomal RNA, 301 nt
Filed under: uncultured bacterium
Lineage: Bacteria
Description: partial 16S ribosomal RNA
Rfam family: Bacterial small subunit ribosomal RNA
Source: RNAcentral
CAGCCGCCGCGGGAAUACGAAGGGGGCUAGCGUUGUUCGGAAUUACUGGGCGUAAAGCGCACGUAGGCGGACAUUUAAGUCAGGGGUGAAAUCCCGGGGCUCAACCCCGGAACUGCCUUUGAUACUGGGUGUCUAGAGUAUGGAAGAGGUGAGUGGAAUUCCGAGUGUAGAGGUGAAAUUCGUAGAUAUUCGGAGGAACACCAGUGGCGAAGGCGGCUCACUGGUCCAUUACUGACGCUGAGGUGCGAAAGCGUGGGGAGCAAACAGGAUUAGAUACCCCCGUAGUCCCUGUCUCUUAUAU